RNAcentral lists this ribosomal RNA (432 nucleotides) under uncultured bacterium. RNAcentral describes it as "bacterial SSU rRNA". It matches the Rfam family "Bacterial small subunit ribosomal RNA", at positions 78 to 518 of the family's 1533-position model. The record is from RNAcentral.
GCCUGAAUGGAUGGAAAGCGGCGGACGGGUGAGUAACGCGUAGGUAACCUGGCCCUGUACAAAGGGAUAGCCACUGGAAACGGUGAUUAAUACCUUAUGACACCGCAGCAUCACAUGGUGAAGCGGUCAAAGAUUUUAUCGGUACAGGAUGGACCUGCGUCGUAGAUUAGUUAGUUGGCGGGGUAACGGCCCACCAAGGCGACGAUCAGUAGCCGACCUGAGAGGGUGAUCGGCCACAUUGGAACUGAGACACGGUCCAAACUCCUACGGGGAGGCAGCAGGUGGGGAAUAUUGCACAAUGGGCGCAAGCCCUGAUGCAGCAACGCCGCGUGAACGAAGAAGGCCUUUGGGUCGUAAAGUUCUGUUCUGAGGGAAGAAGAAAGUGACGGUACCUCAGGAGAAAGCCCCGGCUAACUACGUGCCAGCCGCGGC